RNAcentral lists this ribosomal RNA (468 nucleotides) under uncultured bacterium. Its description in RNAcentral is "partial 16S ribosomal RNA". It matches the Rfam family "Bacterial small subunit ribosomal RNA", at positions 28 to 507 of the family's 1533-position model. The record is from RNAcentral.
GACGAACGCUGGCGGCGUGCUUAACACAUGCCAGUCGAACGGUGAUGCUCCAGCUUGCUGGAGUGGAUCAGUGGCGAACGGGUGAGUAACACGUGAGCAACCUGCCCCAGACUCUGGAAUAAGCGCUGGAAACGGCGUCUAAUACUGGAUACGAAACUGGCCCGCAUGGGCAUGGUUUGGAAAGUUUUUCGGUUUGGGAUGGGCUCGCGGCCUAUCAGCUUGUUGGUGAGGUAAUGGCUCACCAAGGCGACGACGGGUAGCCGGCCUGAGAGGGCGACCGGCCACACUGGGACUGAGACACGGCCCAGACUCCUACGGGAGGCAGCAGUGGGGAAUAUUGCACAAUGGGCGAAAGCCUGAUGCAGCGACGCCGCGUGAGGGAUGACGGCUUUCGGGUUGUAAACCUCUUUCAGCAGGGAAGAAGCGAAAGUGACGGUACCUGCAGAAGAAGCACCGGCUAACUACGUG